RNAcentral lists this ribosomal RNA (492 nucleotides) under uncultured bacterium. Its description in RNAcentral is "partial 16S ribosomal RNA". It matches the Rfam family "Bacterial small subunit ribosomal RNA", at positions 29 to 507 of the family's 1533-position model. The record is from RNAcentral.
AGUGAACGCUGGCGGUAGGCCUAACACAUGCAAGUCGAACGGCAGCACAGUAAGAGCUUGCUCUUACGGGUGGCGAGUGGCGGACGGGUGAGGAAUACAUCGGAAUCUACUUUUUCGUGGGGGAUAACGUAGGGAAACUCACGCUAAUACCGCAUACGACCUACGGGUGAAAGCAGGGGAUCUUCGGACCUUGCGCGAUUGAAUGAGCCGAUGUCGGAUUAGCUAGUUGGCGGGGUAAAGGCCCACAAAGGCGACGAUCCGUAGCUGGUCUGAGAGGAUGAUCAGCCACACUGGAACUGAGACACGGUCCAGACUCCUACGGGAGGCAGCAGUGGGGAAUAUUGGACAAUGGGCGCAAGCCUGAUCCAGCCAUACCGCGUGGGUGAAGAAGGCCUUCGGGUUGUAAAGCCCUUUUGUUGGGAAAGAAAAGCAGCAGGUUAAUACCCCGCUGUUCUGACGGUACCCAAAGAAUAAGCACCGGCUAACUUCGUG